GUUGGGAAUAUUGGACAAUGGGAGAAAUCCUGAUCCAGCAAUCCCGCGUGAGUGAUGAAGGCCUUCGGGUCGUAAAGCUCUUUAAGGGGGGAAGAAGGGAAACUUGACGGUACCCCCAGAAUAAGCACCGGCUAACUCUGUGCCAGCAGCCGCGGUAAUACAGAGGGUGCAAGCGUUGUUCGGAAUUAUUGGGCGUAAAGCGCGUGUAGGUGGCUUUCUAAGUCUGGUGUGAAAGCCCGGGGCUCAACCCCGGAAGUGCACUGGAUACUGGAAAGCUAGAGGGCGAGAGAGGAGAUUGGAAUUCAUGGUGUAGGGGUGAAAUCCGUAGAUAUCAUGAGGAACAUCUGUGGCGAAGGCGAAUCUCUGGCUCGUUUCUGACACUGAGACGCGAAAGCGUGGGGAGCAAACAGGAUUAGAUACCCUUGUAGUCC
This 431-nucleotide ribosomal RNA is filed under the name uncultured bacterium. RNAcentral's name for it is "bacterial SSU rRNA". It matches the Rfam family "Bacterial small subunit ribosomal RNA", at positions 354 to 796 of the family's 1533-position model. The record is from RNAcentral.